CACUUGUCUUUUAAAUAAAGACCUGUAUGAAGGCAUAACGAGGGCUGUGCUGUCUCCUUUCUCCCGUCAAUGAAAUUGAUCUACCCGUGCAGAAGCGGGUAUUAAUACAUAAGACGAGAAGACCCUAUGGAGCUUUAGACACCAAAGAAGCCCGCGUUAAGACCCCUAAGAAAAAAGAAUAAACAAGGCGGACCCUACUUAUUUGUCUUUGGUUGGGGCGACCGCGGAGAACAACAAAACCCCCGCGUGGAACGGGACUACCCCUGAAGUAAGGCCCACAGGCCUAAGACCCAGAAAAUCUGACCAAAAGAUCCGGCUAUGCCGAUCAACGGACCCAGUUACCCUAGGGAUAACAGCGCAAUCCCCUUUUAGAGCCCACAUCGACAAGGGGGUUUACGACCUCGAUGUUGGAUCAGGACCUCCUAAUGGUGCAGCCGCUAUUAAGGGUUCGUUUGUUCAACGAUUAAAGUCC
This 472-nucleotide ribosomal RNA is filed under the name Mesogobius batrachocephalus. RNAcentral describes it as "partial large subunit ribosomal RNA". It matches the Rfam family "Bacterial large subunit ribosomal RNA", at positions 1966 to 2596 of the family's 2925-position model. Lineage: Eukaryota; Metazoa; Chordata; Actinopteri; Gobiiformes; Gobiidae. The record is from RNAcentral.